This 1427-nucleotide ribosomal RNA is filed under the name Lactiplantibacillus pentosus. RNAcentral describes it as "bacterial SSU rRNA". It matches the Rfam family "Bacterial small subunit ribosomal RNA". The record is from RNAcentral. Lineage: Bacteria; Bacillati; Bacillota; Bacilli; Lactobacillales; Lactobacillaceae.
AAGUCGAACGAACUCUGGUAUUGAUUGGUGCUUGCAUCAUGAUUUACAUUUGAGUGAGUGGCGAACUGGUGAGUAACACGUGGGAAACCUGCCCAGAAGCGGGGGAUAACACCUGGAAACAGAUGCUAAUACCGCAUAACAACUUGGACCGCAUGGUCCGAGUUUGAAAGAUGGCUUCGGCUAUCACUUUUGGAUGGUCCCGCGGCGUAUUAGCUAGAUGGUGGGGUAAUGGCUCACCAUGGCAAUGAUACGUAGCCGACCUGAGAGGGUAAUCGGCCACAUUGGGACUGAGACACGGCCCAAACUCCUACGGGAGGCAGCAGUAGGGAAUCUUCCACAAUGGACGAAAGUCUGAUGGAGCAACGCCGCGUGAGUGAAGAAGGGUUUCGGCUCGUAAAACUCUGUUGUUAAAGAAGAACAUAUCUGAGAGUAACUGUUCAGGUAUUGACGGUAUUUAACCAGAAAGCCACGGCUAACUACGUGCCAGCAGCCGCGGUAAUACGUAGGUGGCAAGCGUUGUCCGGAUUUAUUGGGCGUAAAGCGAGCGCAGGCGGUUUUUUAAGUCUGAUGUGAAAGCCUUCGGCUCAACCGAAGAAGUGCAUCGGAAACUGGGAAACUUGAGUGCAGAAGAGGACAGUGGAACUCCAUGUGUAGCGGUGAAAUGCGUAGAUAUAUGGAAGAACACCAGUGGCGAAGGCGGCUGUCUGGUCUGUAACUGACGCUGAGGCUCGAAAGUAUGGGUAGCAAACAGGAUUAGAUACCCUGGUAGUCCAUACCGUAAACGAUGAAUGCUAAGUGUUGGAGGGUUUCCGCCCUUCAGUGCUGCAGCUAACGCAUUAAGCAUUCCGCCUGGGGAGUACGGCCGCAAGGCUGAAACUCAAAGGAAUUGACGGGGGCCCGCACAAGCGGUGGAGCAUGUGGUUUAAUUCGAAGCUACGCGAAGAACCUUACCAGGUCUUGACAUACUAUGCAAAUCUAAGAGAUUAGACGUUCCCUUCGGGGACAUGGAUACAGGUGGUGCAUGGUUGUCGUCAGCUCGUGUCGUGAGAUGUUGGGUUAAGUCCCGCAACGAGCGCAACCCUUAUUAUCAGUUGCCAGCAUUAAGUUGGGCACUCUGGUGAGACUGCCGGUGACAAACCGGAGGAAGGUGGGGAUGACGUCAAAUCAUCAUGCCCCUUAUGACCUGGGCUACACACGUGCUACAAUGGAUGGUACAACGAGUUGCGAACUCGCGAGAGUAAGCUAAUCUCUUAAAGCCAUUCUCAGUUCGGAUUGUAGGCUGCAACUCGCCUACAUGAAGUCGGAAUCGCUAGUAAUCGCGGAUCAGCAUGCCGCGGUGAAUACGUUCCCGGGCCUUGUACACACCGCCCGUCACACCAUGAGAGUUUGUAACACCCAAAGUCGGUGGGGUAACCUUUUAGGAACCA